CCUCCGGUAGCUUAGUGGUUAGUGUUCUGGUCUGGUGGACCGUAAGUGGUGGGUUCGAUUCCCACCUGAGGCA
This 73-nucleotide transfer RNA is filed under the name Lucilia cuprina (Australian sheep blowfly). It matches the Rfam family "tRNA". Rfam says of the family: Transfer RNA (tRNA) molecules are approximately 80 nucleotides in length. Lineage: Eukaryota; Metazoa; Arthropoda; Insecta; Diptera; Calliphoridae. The record is from Rfam by way of RNAcentral.